RNAcentral lists this ribosomal RNA (493 nucleotides) under uncultured bacterium. RNAcentral's name for it is "bacterial SSU rRNA". It matches the Rfam family "Bacterial small subunit ribosomal RNA", at positions 29 to 507 of the family's 1533-position model. The record is from RNAcentral.
ACGAACGCUGGCGGCGUGCCUAAUACAUGCAAGCGAGCGGAUCUUGAGGAGCUUGCUCCUUGAGAUUAGCGGCGGACGGGUGAGUAACACGUGGGCAACCUGCCUGUAAGACUGGGAUAACACCGGGAAACCGGUGCUAAUACCGGAUAAUUCUUUCCCUCACAUGAGGAAAGCUGAAAGUCGGUUUCGGCUGACACUUACAGAUGGGCCCGCGGCGCAUUAGCUAGUUGGUAAGGUAACGGCUCACCAAGGCGACGAUGCGUAGCCGACCUGAGAGGGUGAUCGGCCACACUGGGACUGAGACACGGCCCAGACUCCUACGGGAGGCAGCAGUAGGGAAUCUUCCGCAAUGGACGAAAGUCUGACGGAGCAACGCCGCGUGAGUGAUGAAGGCCUUCGGGUCGUAAAACUCUGUUGUCAGGGAAGAACAAGUAUCGGAGUAACUGCCGGUACCUUGACGGUACCUGACCAGAAAGCCACGGCUAACUACGUG